AGCGGUGGAGCAUGUGGUUUAAUUCGAUGCUACGCGAAGAACCUUACCAGGUCUUGACAUCUUCUGCCAACCUAAGAGAUUAGGCGUUCCCUUCGGGGACAGAAUGACAGGUGGUGCAUGGUUGUCGUCAGCUCGUGUCGUGAGAUGUUGGGUUAAGUCCCGCAACGAGCGCAACCCUUAUUGUUAGUUGCCAGCAUUCAGUUGGGCACUCUAGCAAGACUGCCGGUGACAAACCGGAGGAAGGUGGGGAUGACGUCAAACCAUCAUGCCCCUUAUGACCUGGGCUACACACGUGCUACAAUGGACGGUACAACGAGUCGCGAAACCGCGAGGUCAAGCUAAUCUCUUAAAGCCGUUCUCAGUUCGGAUUGUAGGCUGCAACUCGCCUACAUGAAGUUGGAAUCGCUAGUAAUCGUGGAUCAGCAUGCCACGGUGAAUACGUUCCCGGGCCUUGUACACACCGCCCGUCACACCAUGAGAGUUUGUAACACCCAAAGCCGGUGAGGUAACCUUCGGGGACCAGCCGUCUAAGGUGGGACAGAUGAUUAGGGUGAAGUCGUAACAAGGUAACC
RNAcentral lists this ribosomal RNA (572 nucleotides) under uncultured Lactobacillus sp. RNAcentral describes it as "bacterial SSU rRNA". It matches the Rfam family "Bacterial small subunit ribosomal RNA", at positions 928 to 1501 of the family's 1533-position model. Lineage: Bacteria; Bacillati; Bacillota; Bacilli; Lactobacillales; Lactobacillaceae. The record is from RNAcentral.